RNAcentral lists this ribosomal RNA (254 nucleotides) under uncultured bacterium. RNAcentral's name for it is "partial 16S ribosomal RNA". It matches the Rfam family "Bacterial small subunit ribosomal RNA", at positions 524 to 776 of the family's 1533-position model. The record is from RNAcentral.
UACGAAGGGGGCUAGCGUUGUUCGGAUUUACUGGGCGUAAAGCGCACGUAGGCGGACUAUUAAGUCAGGGGUGAAAUCCCGGGGCUCAACCCCGGAACUGCCUUUGAUACUGGUAGUCUUGAGUUCGAGAGAGGUGAGUUGGAAUUCCGAGUGUAGAGGUGAAAUUUGUAGAUAUUCGGAGGAACACCAGUGGCGAAGGCGGCUCACUGGCUCGAUACUGACGCUGAGGUGCGAAAGCGUGGGGAGCAAACAGG